UACGAAGGGGGCUAGCGUUGUCCGGAUUUAUUGGGCGUAAAGAGCGUGUAGGCGGCCAGGUAGGUCAGCUGUGAAAACUCGAGGCUCAACCUCGAGAUGUCGGCUGAAACCAUCUGGCUAGAGUCCGGAAGAGGAGAAUGGAAUUCCCGGUGUAGCGGUGAAAUGCGCAGAUAUCGGGAAGAACACCAGUGGCGAAGGCGGCUCACUGGACCGGUAUUGACGCUGAGGUGCGAAAGCGUGGGGAGCAAACAGG
Molecule: ribosomal RNA, 253 nt
Filed under: uncultured bacterium
Lineage: Bacteria
Description: partial 16S ribosomal RNA
Rfam family: Bacterial small subunit ribosomal RNA
Source: RNAcentral